Molecule: ribosomal RNA, 433 nt
Filed under: uncultured bacterium
Lineage: Bacteria
Description: partial 16S ribosomal RNA
Rfam family: Bacterial small subunit ribosomal RNA
Source: RNAcentral
AACGAACGCUGGCGGCAUGCCUAACACAUGCAAGUCGAACGAGACCUUCGGGUCUAGUGGCGCACGGGUGCGUAACGCGUGGGAACCUGCCCUUAGGUUCGGAAUAACUCCCCGAAAGGGGUGCUAAUACCGGAUAAUGUCUUCGGACCAAAGAUUUAUCGCCUUUGGAUGGGCCCGCGUUGGAUUAGCUGGUUGGUAGGGUAAAAGCCUACCAAGGCGACGAUCCAUAGCUGGUCUGGGAGGAUGAUCAGCCACACUGGGACUGAGACACGGCCCAGACUCCUACGGGAGGCAGCAGUGGGGAAUAUUGGACGAUGGGCGAAAGCCUGAUCCAGCAAUGCCGCGUGAGUGAUGAAGGCCUUAGGGUUGUAAAGCUCUUUUACCCGGGAUGAUAAUGACAGUACCGGGAGAAUAAGCUCCGGCUAACUCCGUG